This 553-nucleotide ribosomal RNA is filed under the name Pseudogramma polyacantha (honeycomb podge). RNAcentral's name for it is "partial 16S ribosomal RNA". It matches the Rfam family "Bacterial large subunit ribosomal RNA", at positions 1838 to 2591 of the family's 2925-position model. The record is from RNAcentral. Lineage: Eukaryota; Metazoa; Chordata; Actinopteri; Perciformes; Serranidae.
ACAAAACAUAAGAGGUCCCGCCUGCCCUGUGACUAUAUGUUUAACGGCCGCGGUAUUUUGACCGUGCGAAGGUAGCGCAAUCACUUGUCUUUUAAAUGGAGACCUGUAUGAAUGGCACAACGAGGGCUUAACUGUCUCCUUUUUCAGGUCAAUGAAGUUGAUCUUCCCGUGCAGAAGCGGGAAUACCACCAUAAGACGAGAAGACCCUAUGGAGCUUUAGACACCAAAGCAGACCAUGCAUUAACCCCUACAAAGGAAAUAAAGCCAAAUGACCCCUGCCCUAAUGUCUUCGGUUGGGGCGACCGCGGGGAAGGGAAAAACCCCCGCACGGACCGGGGAGACUACUCCUUAAAAGCAAGAGCCACAGCUCUAACUAACAGAAUUUCUGGCCAAUAGAUCCGGCAAUGCCGAUUAAUGGACCAAGUUACCCUAGGGAUAACAGCGCAAUCUCCUUUUAGAGCCCAUAUCGACAAGGGGGUUUACGACCUCGAUGUUGGAUCAGGACAUCCUAAUGGUGCAGCCGCUAUUAAGGGUUCGUUUGUUCAACGAUUAA